AGUAAAUUGAAUUAAUAAUAAAUAGUGACAUCUCUAAUAUCUUCUUCGUCAACAAAACAAUCUCUUUAAUUGAAAUAAUUUCCGUUUUAUCUUUUGAUUUGGUGACAGCAGUUUAAAGACCUAUGCUACACGUUAUAUAUUUUUUUCCAACAAUAUCUUACGAACGAGUUAAAUUAUAUGAUUUUUCUAAGUAAAAAGAGAGAGCCGACCAAAAAAAAAAAAAUCAAACGGUAAAUGACAAAGUAACUACGGUUAAAAUAAAUAACCAACGCUCGAUAAUCCCGGAUAAUAGAAAAAAAAAAACAGAGACAGCUAGAAAAAAAACAGAGCUCCUUCGCGACGAGAAGUCGCCGCCGGAAUCGAGAGGCCAAGGCCGUAGUUUGAGAGUUUAAAGGAAAAUUACUCCCGACGUUGAUUAGUCUCCGGAGGAUACUUUGUGAUAUUUUGUUGAUUCAUAGGUAGACUGUGAAGACUUGCAAAAGAUAGCCUUUUGACUUCUUUGUUCACUGUUACACGAUGAAUGACGCUCUUGUAUAUGCCGUUGCUCAUCACCUCUACCUGAUCUCCCAGCUGAACUAUCAAAGCUCCUUCUAUAUACGGCACACAAACCCAGUUUUUGUUGCAGUCCAUUAUCUGGAGUCCCUUGCUACUCUGAAGUAAGAUGGUCAGUGAGCUGAAGUCUGAGUGUGGUGGCAUUCCCAAGGCCAUUUCAGGUUCCGGGCAUGCUGGAUAACAAUUCACUGCCAUGACUUCAAAUGUGUUGCCUCUGCAUACUUGCCCACUUUAUCCCUGAAAGCAUGGAGGAUUUGAUGGCCACAUAUCGAUCCACUUUGAGAGUGGAUGAGAGUAAUGCUUGAUGAAAUCUCUCCAGUAGUGAACUCUGUCUGUUGAAUGGUUAAGGCUUGUGCCAUACCUGACUGGCUCAUGAACGUUUGCAGACACCAGAAGCAUCUUCUCUUCCACAGGCCAUGCUAAUCUCGUGGAUUGCGAGGGAUCGAAGGAAAGGUUGGUGCAAAAGAGAGAGAUCAAUGACAGGAAGUGUAGUCUCGCUGGUGCCUAAGCUUGAACCAAGAGCUGGCCUUUGCGAAGGAGGAAGAACGUAGCGAUCAGGGACUUGAGGCACACCUGAAUUGGUAAGUGUCAUUGCACUUGUAAAAGAAUCAUCAAGCAAACUCAUUUUUGUUUCCUCCAUAUUUUUUUGUUUGCUCUUUAUGUAUUUAGUACUACUAUACUAAAGAGUAUGGCAACAUGCAUAGCGUAUAUAUAUACUUGUUAAAAUUUCUUCUAGAAAGAUAAAUAUCC
Molecule: long non-coding RNA, 1302 nt
Filed under: Arabidopsis thaliana (thale cress)
Lineage: Eukaryota; Viridiplantae; Streptophyta; Magnoliopsida; Brassicales; Brassicaceae
Description: potential natural antisense gene, locus overlaps with AT2G44800 (AT2G44798)
Source: RNAcentral